GGCGGACGCUGGCGGCGUGCUUAACACAUGCAAGUCGAACGCGCCUGUCCUCUGGGUUUCUGGGGGGUGGGUGAGUGGCGAACGGGUGAGUAACACGUGAGUAACCUGCCCCCUUCUUCGGGAUAACGGUCUGAAAGGGCUGCUAAUACCGGGUAUUCACUGGUCUCCGCAUGGGGUCUGGUGGAAAGGUUUUUUUCUGGUGGGGGAUGGGCUCGCGGCCUAUCAGCUUGUUGGUGGGGUGAUGGCCCACCAAGGCUUUGACGGGUAGCCGGCCUGAGAGGGUGACCGGUCACAUUGGGACUGAGAUACGGCCCAGACUCCUACGGGAGGCAGCAGUGGGGAAUAUUGCACAAUGGGCGCAAGCCUGAUGCAGCGACGCCGCGUGAGGGAUGGAGGCCUUCGGGUUGUGAACCUCUUUCGCCCGUGGUCAAGCCGCGACGUGGGUCGUGGUGAGGGUAGUGGGUAAAGAAGCGCCGGCUAACUACGUG
RNAcentral lists this ribosomal RNA (488 nucleotides) under uncultured bacterium. RNAcentral's name for it is "partial 16S ribosomal RNA". It matches the Rfam family "Bacterial small subunit ribosomal RNA", at positions 28 to 507 of the family's 1533-position model. The record is from RNAcentral.